AAACUUUCUCCCGACUCCCGAGCCAUUUCGAAUCAGGCAUGGCUCCCGCUGCAACGACGUAUGUGGGGGCAACCAGUGAGAAGUAGUAGUCUAAGUCUCACGUCAACGAGUUGGGGGGAAAGAGAAAUAAAAGCUGAGGUCUGAAGAAGGAGAGUUAUGGAGCUUUAAAAUGGGAUUGUAAGCCUCUGUGACAAAGGGUACAGCCCCAUUAAAUCCCAUUGUCUUUUCAAGUCUUCUGUCUUCCGGCAGCAAGCAAGAAACCAGCAUGUACUCCCUCCUCACGGGCGUAAGUCCUUAGGAUAGCGCCCGCGACGUUGCUCCCCUUCAGAGCGUCGCCAUCACAGAAGCCCCCGCCGAGCU
RNAcentral lists this long non-coding RNA (360 nucleotides) under Phoenix dactylifera (date palm). Its description in RNAcentral is "long non-coding RNA (PDAC_LNC019532)". Lineage: Eukaryota; Viridiplantae; Streptophyta; Magnoliopsida; Arecales; Arecaceae. The record is from RNAcentral.